RNAcentral lists this transfer RNA (78 nucleotides) under Aquimarina spongiae. RNAcentral's name for it is "tRNA_Pro_GGG". It matches the Rfam family "tRNA". From Rfam's summary of the family: Transfer RNA (tRNA) molecules are approximately 80 nucleotides in length. Their secondary structure includes four short double-helical elements and three loops (D, anti-codon, and T loops). The record is from RNAcentral. Lineage: Bacteria; Pseudomonadati; Bacteroidota; Flavobacteriia; Flavobacteriales; Flavobacteriaceae.
CGGGAUGUAGCUUAGCCCGGUUAAAGUGCACGUCUGGGGGGCGUGAGAUCGCUGGUUCGAAUCCAGUCAUCCCGACCA